GUCCCCAGCAGCCCGAGAGACCCUUCGCCCAGCCCUCCGCGUGGCGCGAAAAGGCGCGUGGCCACGGGUGGGGUGAGAGAUGCUCCCCGCACUCCCAAGGAGAACCUUCUGGAGCCGACGCCCAUGCCGACGCCGCGCUGGCCCCCGCCGGGCUUCGCCGCCCAACUGCUGCCCUCUGCCGGCCCUGCGGCCUAGCUGUGCCGGAGGGCGCGGGCCUCCUCUGUAUGGUUCCUGGUCCUCCUGUUCUCCUUCCAGCCCUUUCCUCUCCUCCAUUCCAACCGCACCCGGAAACACUUGGGGGUUUCGGUUGCUCUUCUGUUAACAACUGCCAUCCUGUCCGACCUCCAGGUUGAGCUUCCGUCUCCAUUCCUUCUCGUCCAACAAGCGGCCUUCUAGUUAGCCAAGAUGGGCAGAAAGAUGGGUGCCAAUCAAGAAGCUGGACAGCUCACUCCAGAUAGGCUUGCGGGGAAUCACUGGGUUAAAAUUAGCCCCCCCACCCCCCCACACACACACCCAUGGGAAGAUCUUUAUAGGGCUUUCCGCCUUGUGCCUGUGAAAACCUCACAGCCUUCUCCAGGCUGUUUCCUCCAGUCUUUCCAUGGAAGAUUCUGGACUCCCGACCAACUGCUUCUUUCUCGAGUGUCAUUUUCAGAACCCCUUGACCCAGAACCAUUUCCUUGCAGGUUGCUCACCAGAAAACACUGACUUUAAAUGUGUUAACUAAAACCGCCUAAUGAUUGGUGCUUAGAUGCUAUGUAGACUGAAAGAAUGCUGUCUGUGGUCUCACUCAGUUUGUGAGACAAGAUUCAGGCUCUGGGAAUUCAGAUCAUCUGCCUAAAGGGACCUGAGUGGAGUGUUUUGGAGAGCAACAGUAUGCCUUGAUUUGGGCAGUUGAGAGAUUUCCAUUCAUGGAGAACAUUUGUGGCCAAAGAUUGUGUCUUUCUAACAGAAUAUGCUCGUGAUACUUAAAUACUUUCUAUUUAAGCUGUAGAAGACCAGGUACUGAGGAAGAACAAGAACUCAGUGGAGGGGUAGCUCCUUUGGUAGAGUGCUUGCCUAGAACCCUGGGCUCCCUUGCCAGCACCACAUAGAACUGGGGUAACGGUGCAUACCUGUAAUUGUCAGGUCCCCAGCACUCUCUUGGGAAGUGGAGGAAAGAGGAUCGGAAGUUCAUCCUCCCUUACACGAGGAGAGACCAGAGACCAUGGGGGGGGGUUGAUUUCAGGAUUUGGUGAAAAAAGAGAAAAAGCACCAGCAAAUAAAUAGUUGUUUUUUGUUGUGCCCCGUGUCCUGCCCACCCGCACCCCAAAGGUGUUUUCCCCAUCUUCUAGUGCUGGAGGUCACUUUGUUCCCAGUAAACCCACAACCCUUCCUGUGGAUAGGUAGACCACGGACUCUAAGAAGUACUGCUCUCAAAAGUGCAUCAAGGACGAGUCCUGGGUGCUCACCUAGGCCGAGCCUGAGCUCGGGGAAGCUGACCUUUGAGCUACUCGAAACUAAGAAGUGAAACCACAGGGGCAGACAGUGUGCGAGGCACCCGAACAGAGCUGUUCCACGGUGUUCUGCUGUGCAUCAGAUGCAGCCGGAGGAGCCACAAACAAGUUCCUAAAACGACGUGGGUCACUGUCCCUAAAGCAUUUCUGUUGGCGCUCUGAGCAGAAGGACCAUAGCUGACCACUCCCCCGAGCGGAGGCAACUUCGCCGCCGCCUUCUCGGAGCACAGGGCACUUGUUUUGGUGGUGGAACCCGAAUGAGACAUAAAGAUCCCUCUCCAGGAAGGAACCUUUGUUUCAAUGAGAGGUGCACAUUCAGCGUGGAAGUCAGGCCUCUACAUUCUGGAACAGUCUCGGUGUCAGAUGGUCUGCUUAAUGGCCUUCCUGUUUCCAUCACUAACGUGCCGACAGCCUACCUUUUCUAACUGAUAUGCUCACAUUGUAAUUUAUCUUCAAAAAAAUAAAUCACAUGUUAUAGCAUUUC
Peromyscus leucopus (white-footed mouse) is the source of this 1977-nucleotide long non-coding RNA. RefSeq lists it as uncharacterized. The record is from RefSeq and is a predicted model, not a curated record. The transcript has 3 exons. Lineage: Eukaryota; Metazoa; Chordata; Mammalia; Rodentia; Cricetidae.